UUAUCAAAGCUCCCCAAGAUCAUCAAUCAUGUGAGGAGAUUGAAGUUUAGAGGAGGAGCAACAACGCUCCGGCCAUCGAUUGCACUGAAGCCCCCUUUUGGAGCCUGCAUGGGCACUUAUACGCACAAAACAGAAGCAGGCCAUCUAUAUCCCCUUUAAUAUUAAGCUCCAUCAAUGCUAAUAAUGGCAUCAUGGCUGUAUUGAUAGGUUCUCACAUAAAGGCUCCAUUUAUGGUUAUUUGUUGAUGGUCGAAAUUAAUUAUUCACAGGUUUGGAUGAAGGUAGACACACGCUCAGGGAGAGAGGGGCUGUGGCUACUGUUGGAGGGUCAAUAAACUCUCCCAACAAACAAAAUGCCAAACAGAGUGGAUAGGGGGGGUCGAUUAGAGAAAUUUCAGGAGUUUUUUUACGGUAAAGAUUUAAUAAAUUAAACCGUGACAACAGUUAUGUUUGUUGGCAUAAAGGGGGGGUGGGAAGUGUGGGACUGCAGGGUUUGACAAACGGCUGUGUGGACAUUUCAACGUGCAAUACCCCGGGAAGGAGCUGCAGAGCUGUGCGCAGAGAGCCCAGGCACCCACCGUCUCCAAGUCUCUCUUUCACACUCUGUAAACACUGCAGACUCUGCUAGUGAAGACUCAUAUUUUCAUAAGCUAAAUACUAUCGUUCACAUUGAUUUGUGCGCUUGACUUUUUUCUUUCCACCCCUCCUCCAUAUGGACAAGCACGCAUAAACUGAUCAACUUAAUCAUUUAUUGUUUCCUGCUGUGUAAUGACGCCUUGAUCCUGCCAACAAGACCUUUGACACCUUCGACACAAGCAAGUGGAAGGUGAUCUGGGUGAACAAUGUCAUCGCUCUGGAAACGAAACAGCCCGACGAGAGAGAAAGCUCAUUUCUGCUCCGGAGCAGACAAGCGGCGUCCUGGGAUUUCGGCGGGAGCACACAGAAGAGUACCUGUAAUUUGACUUGCCACGUCUAAAUGGAAGUUGAAUGGGUUACAUUGUGCAACAACAAAUAAAAUGCUCACAAUGCUU
Labrus mixtus (cuckoo wrasse) is the source of this 1030-nucleotide long non-coding RNA. RefSeq lists it as uncharacterized. The record is from RefSeq and is a predicted model, not a curated record. The transcript has 2 exons. NCBI's taxonomy places the organism in Eukaryota, Metazoa, Chordata, Actinopteri, Labriformes, Labridae.